GCGGAAGUGGUGGAAUCGGUAUACACGCUAUCUUGAGGGGGUAGUGCCUGCUUGGGCGUGCGGGUUCAAGUCCCGUCUUCCGCACUA
Molecule: transfer RNA, 87 nt
Filed under: Ignavibacteria bacterium
Lineage: Bacteria; Pseudomonadati; Ignavibacteriota; Ignavibacteria
Description: tRNA-Leu
Rfam family: tRNA
About the family: Transfer RNA (tRNA) molecules are approximately 80 nucleotides in length.
Source: RNAcentral